This 497-nucleotide ribosomal RNA is filed under the name uncultured bacterium. RNAcentral describes it as "partial 16S ribosomal RNA". It matches the Rfam family "Bacterial small subunit ribosomal RNA", at positions 28 to 507 of the family's 1533-position model. The record is from RNAcentral.
GAUGAACGCUGGCGGCGUGCCUAAUACAUGCAAGUCGAGCGAACGGACGAGAAGCUUGCUUCUCUGAUGUUAGCGGCGGACGGGUGAGUAACACGUGGAUAACCUACCUAUAAGACUGGGAUAACUUCGGGAAACCGGAGCUAAUACCGGAUAAUAUUUUGAACCGCAUGGUUCAAAAGUGAAAGACGGUCUUGCUGUCACUUAUAGAUGGAUCCGCGCUGCAUUAGCUAGUUGGUAAGGUAACGGCUUACCAAGGCAACGAUGCAUAGCCAACCUGAGAGGGUGAUCGGCCACACUGGAACUGAGACACGGUCCAGACUCCUACGGGAGGCAGCAGUAGGGAAUCUUCCGCAAUGGGCGAAAGCCUGACGGAGCAACGCCGCGUGAGUGAUGAAGGUCUUCGGAUCGUAAAACUCUGUUAUUAGGGAAGAACAUAUGUGUAAGUAACUGUGAACAUCUUGACGGUACCUAAUCAGAAAGCCACGGCUAACUACGUG